This 497-nucleotide ribosomal RNA is filed under the name uncultured bacterium. Its description in RNAcentral is "partial 16S ribosomal RNA". It matches the Rfam family "Bacterial small subunit ribosomal RNA", at positions 28 to 507 of the family's 1533-position model. The record is from RNAcentral.
GAUGAACGCUGGCGGCGUGCCUAAUACAUGCCAGUCGAGCGAACAGAUGAGGAGCUUGCUCCUCUGACGUUAGCGGCGGACGGGUGAGUAACACGUGGAUAACCUACCUAUAAGACUGGGAUAACUUCGGGAAACCGGAGCUAAUACCGGAUAAUAUAUUGAACCGCAUGGUUCAAUAGUGAAAGACGGUUUUGCUGUCACUUAUAGAUGGAUCCGCGCCGCAUUAGCUAGUUGGUAAGGUAACGGCUUACCAAGGCAACGAUGCGUAGCCGACCUGAGAGGGUGAUCGGCCACACUGGAACUGAGACACGGUCCUGACUCCUACGGGAGGCAGCAGUAGGGAAUCUUCCGCAAUGGGCGAAAGCCUGACGGAGCAACGCCGCGUGAGUGAUGAAGGUCUUCGGAUCGUAAAACUCUGUUAUUAGGGAAGAACAAAUGUGUAAGUAACUAUGCACGUCUUGACGGUACCUAAUCAGAAAGCCACGGCUAACUACGUG